Molecule: ribosomal RNA, 468 nt
Filed under: uncultured bacterium
Lineage: Bacteria
Description: partial 16S ribosomal RNA
Rfam family: Bacterial small subunit ribosomal RNA
Source: RNAcentral
GACGAACGCUGGCGGCGUGCUUAACACAUGCAAGUCGAACGGAAAGGCCCUGCUUUUGUGGGGUGCUCGAGUGGCGAACGGGUGAGUAACACGUGAGUAACCUGCCCUUGACUUUGGGAUAACUUCAGGAAACUGGGGCUAAUACCGGAUAGGAGCUCCUGCUGCAUGGUGGGGGUUGGAAAGUUUCGGCGGUUGGGGAUGGACUGGCGGCUUAUCAGCUUGUUGGUGGGGUAGUGGCUUACCAAGGCUUUGACGGGUAGCCGGCCUGAGAGGGUGACCGGCCUCAUUGGGCCUGGGAUGCGGCCCAGACUCCUACGGGAGGCAGCAGUGGGGAAUAUUGCACAAUGGGCGGAAGCCUGAUGCAGCAACGCCGCGUGCGGGAUGACGGCCUUCGGGUUGUAAACCGCUUUCGCCUGUGACGAAGCGUGAGUGACGGUAAUGGGUAAAGAAGCACCGGCUAACUACGUG